CGAGUGCCUCCCAUAGCCAGCGCUUGACAAAUGGGCAAGAUUCAGUCCAAGCCUAUGGGCUCAGCCCUUUGUUUCCCAGAGCCUCAGCCUCCAUGCCUAUUCACCCACACACUACCAGCCCCUCCACCCAGGAACAGCAUCAGCAACCACGCAGAGAGGAGCCCAUUGCUGCUGAAGGUGAGAGGCUGUCCUCUGCCUGCUUUCAGGACUCCUGGUUCUCAGGCUGCUAGACCUGAACUGGAAUCUACAGCCACUGGCUCUCUGGCUUUCAGGUCUUCAAACUACAUCACCAGCUUUCCUGGGCCUGAACCUUGCCAAUGACAGAUUGUGGGACUUCUCAGCCUCCAUAAACAUCCAACAGCAACUGCCCAUUGGAAGCACAUUGGAAUGGCAAUCCAACAUCCAAAAUGGCUGGGAAAGUGAAGUACUUCAGUUAUUGGAAUAUACUAGUUAGCUGACAAUUUCCAUCUGCCAAUAUCACAAGUGAGAGGACUAUUUCUAAACACUUAACACUAAAUUAUACAGAACAAAAUUCCGUCUUCUUUGGACUAUUCAAAUGUCAUUUUGAAAUGGCUGCUGCAUGGCCAGCAGACUGAGGUGAGAGAAAUUUGUAGCUGUAGAGAAUCCUCAUUAAUGCAGUGAGGCCUUCCCUUUCUAGGCAAUUCCUGGAUCUAAGAGAGAUUAACUGAGACUGACACCUUUAAAGGUCUGAAAAGAUAUUUACUGUCUACUCUCUCGGAGCACUGCUCUCUAUGAGGCUUCAUCCAUAUAACAAAGCUACCUUUGCUAGAUCGGCGUCUUCCUUUCUCCCUCUCAUAAUCUGUCUUGCCACUAAACCUGAUUUACCAACAUAACCAGUUUUGGGCUACACUCUGAGCUCACAUUUUUUUCUAUAACCUCAGGAUGGAAUAUAAGAUUCUGUGCCUUAUUGUUGGCUUGGGUCUUUAUUCUGAAGGUUCCUUUGUGUGCAUGUUAAAUAAGUUUGUAUGCCUUUUCUCCUAUUAAAGCAAAAACAAAAACAAAAGUCAUUUGCAGUGAUUCAGGGUAAUCAUUAUAACCUAAUUUCUCAAUGCAGAGUUUCAGGUGAUGUUUUGAAAAGUUCUGCCUGGGCAACAUGGCGAGACCCCACAUCUACAAAAAAUUUAAAACUCAGCUGGGCAUGGUGGCAUGCACCUGUAGUCCCAGCUACUUGAGAGGCUGAGGUGGAAGGAUUGCUUGAACCCAGGAGUUCAAGACUGUAGUGAACUGUGAUAAUGCCACUGCACUCCAGCCUAGAUGACAGAGUGAGACCCUAUCUCAGAAAAAAAAAAAAGAAAGGAAAAGAAGAGCUCUAAGUGGCAAAGAAUUAUGGAAAUGUAGAGGUUUAUUAUUUCAGUUUUCAAAUAGGGAGAAACUGUAUUGACCAGAUUCAUCAAGAAAUGACAUAUCUUAAAAGCUUCUUUUUUGGGUAAGUUUCUAAUAGCAACUUGUUUACAUGUCAUUUACCUCUUCCUCAUAAAAGCAAAAUAAAGAAUAUGUAAAAAUUCCUGUUUCAGCUUUUGAUGGUGUUCCAGAUGAAUGUGUUUAACUAUAAUUUUAAUAUCUCAAAACACUGUCAGUCAUAAAUUUUUUUCAGUAUGUGUCAAUAAUAAAAAUAAGGAUGAUAAUAACAGGGAAGCAUCACAAUGAAGGAAAAAAGUACUUUCUUCUACCCUGUGGAUGCAUGAAGUGAGGAAUCUAUAGGCAGACCCAGCACUGCUCAUAACUAGCCCUAUAGCCAUGGCCUUGGGCAAGUCAAUUAUUCUUUUUGGAACAUGAUUUUUUCAUAGAUAAUGAAAAGGUAGGAGGGUGGUGGGAAAAGGGAAAGGAGCAGAAAAGAUAACUAUUGGGUACUGAGCUUAAUACCUGGGUGAUGAAAUAAUAUGUACAACAAACCCCCAUGACACGUGUUUACCUAUGUAACAAAUUUUCACAUGUACCCCUAAACGUAAAAUAAAAGUUUAAGAAAAGACAAGAGAAGAUGGUGAUUUCUGAGAUCCUUUAAGCUGUAAAAUGUCUAUGAUUUUAUGCCUUCACUCACAUCUUUAGGGGGUUUUGAAAUUCUGUUCUCUCAUCUUCUUGAAUAAAUUUCAAGCUAACGAAAAUGAUUUUUCUUAAGUAACAAAAUAUUGAGUGAGAUUUUUUCCCAAUGUCCCAGAAUGUUGGUUAAAGCCCCAAGCUGAGAACAAUGGGUAAGAAGUAUAUCUGUCAGAGG
Molecule: long non-coding RNA, 2233 nt
Filed under: Homo sapiens (human)
Lineage: Eukaryota; Metazoa; Chordata; Mammalia; Primates; Hominidae
Description: HSALNT0296281
Source: RNAcentral